RNAcentral lists this unclassified non-coding RNA (241 nucleotides) under Hevea brasiliensis (rubber tree). The record is from RNAcentral. Lineage: Eukaryota; Viridiplantae; Streptophyta; Magnoliopsida; Malpighiales; Euphorbiaceae.
UUGAAGGAGAAGUUGAGUCUUUGCUUAUGCCUCGCAAGCCUUCUCUAUUCCACAAGAGCUGGGUCAACUCUAUGCUGAAAUCAACACGAAAGCACCAGAAUUACCCAUUUCACCAAAGGACAGUACAGAUUCUGAAAAUUCAGUUGCAAAUCCAUCCUGAGUGAUCUAACAUAAGGGGAGUGCCCUUAUUAAUAUUAUCAGGCAAAAUUUAACUUUCUAAUGCCAUUUAGGUAGUUACUCG